CCUGCGGAAGGAUCAUUAAUGAAUUCACUAUGGAGUUGUUGCUGGCCUCUAGGGGCAUGUGCACGCUUCACUAGUCUUUCAACCACCUGUGAACUUUUGAUAGAUCUGUGAAGUCGUCCUUCAAGUCGUCAGGCUUGGUUUGCUGGGAUUUAAACGUCUCGGUGUGACAACGCAGUCUAUUUACUUAACACACCCCAAAUGUAUGUCUACGAAUGUCAUUUAAUGGGCCUUGUGCCUAUAAACCAUAAUACAACUUUCAACAACGGAUCUCUUGGCUCUCGCAUCGAUGAAGAACGCAGCGAAAUGCGAUAAGUAAUGUGAAUUGCAGAAUUCAGUGAAUCAUCGAAUCUUUGAACGCACCUUGCGCCCCUUGGUAUUCCGAGGGGCAUGCCUGUUUGAGUGUCAUUAAAUUCUCAAACUCACAUUUAUUUGUGAUGUUUGGAUUGUUGGGGGUUGCUGGCUGUAACAAGUCGGCUCCUCUUAAAUGCAUUAGCAGGACUUCUCAUUGCCUCUGCGCAUGAUGUGAUAAUUAUCACUCAUCAAUAGCACGCAUGAAUAGAGUCCAGCUCUCUAAUCGUCCGCAAGGACAAUUUGACAAUUUGACCUC
This 607-nucleotide ribosomal RNA is filed under the name Pleurotus pulmonarius. RNAcentral describes it as "eukaryotic LSU rRNA". The stretch from base 252 to 405 matches the Rfam family "5.8S ribosomal RNA". Lineage: Eukaryota; Fungi; Basidiomycota; Agaricomycetes; Agaricales; Pleurotaceae. The record is from RNAcentral.